Molecule: long non-coding RNA, 492 nt
Filed under: Astyanax mexicanus (Mexican tetra)
Lineage: Eukaryota; Metazoa; Chordata; Actinopteri; Characiformes; Acestrorhamphidae
Description: lncRNA (ENSAMXG00005003625.1)
Source: RNAcentral
AUUUAAACUAGUUUUUGUGUCUCCUUUUGUGUGUCCAUUCAUCAACGAUGUCAAGAGCUCGGAUAAUCCUCAAAGAACCUUGUGUCAGCUUCGUCUCUGUUUGAAGCUCCUCUAUGUUCUCCCUGGAGUCCAGUAUUAAGAGUUUGUGUUGGAACACAAUGAGUUCCAGACUGGUACAGCUGAUAGAGCUUCACCAUGAGAGACCAAUCUUUCCCAGUACAUUAAGUGUCAUUAAUGUAAGUAUAUUUCUGAUCUGCUGCUGACUGAAGUGUAAAUUACAUAGUAUGGCUCAGUGUAUUAAUAUAUACUGUUCUUUAUUCCAUUACCUGUUACUACUGUUAUGACACCUUUACUGGCACAACACUCACACUUUCAUUAUAAACUGGGUAGGUUGGUAUUACUGCUGCUACUCUUUAAGAUAAUUAAAUGACCUUUUGAUAUUCAGUAAAACACCCACUGCUGCUCUCGUGUAAAUAUGAUAUAAACUUUCUG